GUUCACUUAUUAUAUCUCUGUGCAGGCUAGUUUUAUAGGAAUUUAUAAAAAUACGACCUCAUAUGCGUGUUCAGACGUAUUCAAACGCAUUCAGACGUGUUCCGACGUGUUCAGACGCGUUCAGACACGUUUAGACACGUUCCGGCGCGUUCCGGCACGUUCCAGCGCGUUCAGAUACGUAAAACUCACUAAUAUGUUUAGUUAUAUUUUAUAAUGUUACCUUAUAUAAAAAAGUCACUGUGUUAGUUAUAGUAUAUUUAUUUAUUUUAAUUAUCAUUUAUACAUUCAGAUUAUUGAUUUUCGUCUUCAUAUUGAUAAUAUUAAUAAAUGUUCUUUAUUGAUAUAGUGUCGUCUAUAUUAUUAGUGCUAUAACAAAUUGGUGGUGAGGUAAAGAAUCGUUUUUUUUUCACUACAAGAAAGAAAAAAGACAAAUCACACGGAAAUUUCAAGCGAGCGCGCCCAACGUGAUCACCAUAACCUUACAAGUUCAAGUUUUAUUUUUCAGCGAACUUAAGCGACGAUACACGCGACGAUAACAAAGCAAUAACGAUGAAGAAACAGGUAUGCGAAGCUUACAUACCUUACAAGAACAGUCCAACAAAAGCUCCACUUCAUCCGCGGGACAUACUAGAGGAAAAUUGGUAGCGUAUACAUAUCAAUGAUGCACGGCCUUAUCAAAGACAUCAUUUUCUUGUAAUAAUGAUGCGAAAUCGAAAUUGGCAAAAAUUGGUUUCAGCAUUUCAAUAAUGCAACGAUUUUUACCAUCGAUGAAUUUAAAAUAUUCUGCAGUGAAAUUGGUCUUUUUCAAGACUUGAUUGCCCCAGGACAUCCUUCUACAAAUGGAUUGGUUGAAAGAAAUGUACAAACACUGAAAAAACGACUUUUAGCUAUAUCAAAUGAACAGUCUUCAAUGAAAGAAAAAAUUCGAGACAUACUUUUUAGAUAUUGAGCAAUACUUUUAAAAGAUAGGAAGUCGUCUGCAGAAUUAUAUCUGAAUCGUCAAUUAAGAAUUUAAUUAUAGACGUGAUUAAACCUACUAAGUUCUUAAAAAGUCAAGUUUAUGAAAAAAUAGCUCGACAAUUAAGCGUGGGAGAGCGUGUAUAAGCAAGAUAUAUUCUGCCAAUAAAACACAAUGGAAGCUAUACACCUUUAAACGUCACAUUGAUCAAUUAAUCAAGACUGGUAUAAAACAAAAAAAUUAAUCAUCAAUGAAAUUAAAUCAAUCAAAUCAACAGAAUAAUUGUCAGCAUGAGCAUAGUUCAAAAACAAUAGCAGACUUAAUAACAUUCUCAUCAGAAGUUCAAAAUCAACAAGUUCAGCAGCAAGUUACACCAGAAAUUAUUUAUCAUGAGUCGUUUCGUUUCGUUUCAUUUUAAUGGCUGUGGGUACCUGAGGACUCCGAUGCGCCACAAUUCAAAAGGGGUCACUAUUAUGACAACUACAUCAGGCGAUCAAUAUACCACUUCAAAUAAAUGAGCCAUCACAAGCGAAUGAGCCGCAAGUUUAAAAAGAUUCAGUUCCUCGACAUUUAACAAGAACAUGUUAAGUUCCAACUUAUCUCAAAGAAUUUGUUAAAAGUCCGAAUUGAAGAUGGCAAAUAAUACUUUAACAUGAUAACCCAUAUCCUAUUGUUAAUCUAGUCAAGAAGAUUUUAAAACUUUCGAACGUGGACGUGUGUAACAUCGUUAACAGUUACGGGUCAACGUUAUUAUUACACCGUGCAGUUUUUUAUAGGAAUAUAGGUAUAUCAAAGUAUUUAAUAAAUAAAGCAACGAAGGUCGAUGUUCAAAAUAAAUGUUAACUGUAGAAAAUAAAGAUUACAAAAGUAUAAUACUUCUCUGCAAUUUGACGCUAGCACGUGUUUCUGGUAAAUUAAGAUGACAAAAAUGUAUUGCAGAUGGCCCUGGAUACAAAAAACACGCUGACAGCAAUUAUUGAAUUGUUUUUUCAUUUGAAUAGUAAUUGUGCUGUUAAUAUCGCAGACGCAGCAAAGAAAUUAUUUGAAUUUAAUCUUUCAUUGUAUCACGUUGUACUCAUGAGAAAUGUAGAACCUACGAAAACAUUACUAGAAAAAUACAAUCUAGAUGUAAAUGUUGAAAAUCCUGAAAAUAAGGAAAAGCUUUCACAGAGAUUUGAAGAACAUUUUCAGUUGUUAAAGAGUGGUAGAACGUUUUCAGAAUUGGUCGCGAAUACAACGCAAACGUAAAUAUUAGAGAUAAGGCAGAUAAAACUGCGCUUUUUUUCUUUGGUGGUCCUUCAUUUUGACAUUGAUCGAAACGUAUCAAUAAGACAUAUAAAAGAAAAUCUUAUUACGUCAAUACUCUGCGGAAGCACCUUACUAAGGCAACAGUAAAAGUACGGGUGAAAGAGCGAGCUGCUCUUAUUAUUAGUAGAAUUAUGAGAAUGAAUUAUCAUGGAAAUUACGUUAUUCCAAAUACUAUUGCGAAUAAUUUGUGAGAUAAAAAUAUUCAAAGGCUGAAUUAAGCUUUUAUGUAAUUGUAUGUAUGCAUAGAUACUUAUAUAUUUUACUUGUUAAUAGACAUUUGUAUUUUUCUACUUUCU
Molecule: long non-coding RNA, 2562 nt
Organism: Phymastichus coffea
Lineage: Eukaryota; Metazoa; Arthropoda; Insecta; Hymenoptera; Eulophidae
Exons: 3
Source: RefSeq, a predicted model, not a curated record